CCUACGGGAGGCAGCAGUCGAGAAUCAUUCACAAUGGGGGAAACCCUGAUGGUGCGACGCCGCGUGGGGGAAUGAAGGUCUUCGGAUUGUAAACCCCUGUCAUGUGGGAGCAAAUUAAAAAGAUAGUACCACAAGAGGAAGAGACGGCUAACUCUGUGCCAGCAGCCGCGGGAAUACAGAGGUCUCAAGCGUUGUUCGGAAUCACUGGGCGUAAAGCGUGCGUAGGCUGUUUCGUAAGUCGUGUGUGAAAGGCGCGGGCUCAACCCGCGGACGGCACAUGAUACUGCGAGACUAGAGUAAUGGAGGGGGAAGCGGAAUUCUCGGUGUAGCAGUGAAAUGCGUAGAUAUCGAGAGGAACACUCGUGGCGAAGGCGGGUUCCUGGACAUUAACUGACGCUGAGGCACGAAGGCCAGGGGAGCGAAAGGGAUUAGAUACCCUUGUAGUC
Molecule: ribosomal RNA, 446 nt
Filed under: uncultured bacterium
Lineage: Bacteria
Description: partial 16S ribosomal RNA
Rfam family: Bacterial small subunit ribosomal RNA
Source: RNAcentral